GUAUUCACUUAGGCAAUACAUAAACUAAGAACUGUAAUGAUACAAACAGGAUUAGCAAGGUCUUUGCUCAAGGACAGCAUGGAAAUUGGCAAAGUGCCUAUUUUCU
This 106-nucleotide small nuclear RNA is filed under the name Dipodomys ordii (Ord's kangaroo rat). The record is from RNAcentral. Lineage: Eukaryota; Metazoa; Chordata; Mammalia; Rodentia; Heteromyidae.